RNAcentral lists this non-coding RNA (140 nucleotides) under Bacillus sonorensis. RNAcentral's name for it is "SAM riboswitch (S box leader)". It matches the Rfam family "SAM riboswitch aptamer (S box leader)". From Rfam's summary of the family: The SAM riboswitch is found upstream of a number of genes which code for proteins involved in methionine or cysteine biosynthesis in Gram-positive bacteria. The SAM riboswitch acts at the level of transcription termination control. The predicted structure consists of a complex stem-loop region followed by a single stem loop terminator region. The record is from RNAcentral. Lineage: Bacteria; Bacillati; Bacillota; Bacilli; Caryophanales; Bacillaceae.
UCUUAUCCCGAGCUGGCGGAGGGACAGGCCCAAUGAAGCCCAGCAACCGGUUUCUCUUCAUCAUAAAAGAUGUAACACAGUAUUGAGACAACUACGGUGCUAACCUGAUGCAAGGUUUUAAAAUACCUUGAGCGAUAAGA